GGCAGGGAAGCUGCUGGAGGAGCACACUAGGACAUCCACCAAAAAGACCCUAGCACCGUAGGCUGGGUGUCUGCUACAGUGUCCUGACCAACUGGAGUCACUGUGAGGCCCCUGGCAAGGUAUUGCAAUCAGCAAACAUACUUCCGGUGUUCAUAGGUCAUUUAUUUUUUACAACUGGAGCAAAUUAGAGUGAUCUCAAGAGGAAGCAAAAUGGCAGCCCACACAAUAGUUCUGGAGCCUGAGAAGUCUAAGAUUGAGGCCUCCUCUGGUGAMGCCACGUGCAGCAAAACCUAACGCUGUUUCCUUGCUGAUGGUAACUCUGCAGAGCCCAGAAGUGACCAGGACAUCAUGUGAAUUUGAAGAGCCAAUUCUAAAAUGCAAGCAAAAAUUUCAGAGACCUAGAAUCGCCAAACAAUAUUGAAUGAGAAGAACAACUGGAAGACUCACAUUUCCUGAUUCCAAAUAACUACAAUGCUACAGUAAUCAAUACUAUGUGGUACUAGCAUAAGAACAGAUACAUAGAUCC
Urocitellus parryii (Arctic ground squirrel) is the source of this 526-nucleotide long non-coding RNA. RefSeq lists it as uncharacterized. Lineage: Eukaryota; Metazoa; Chordata; Mammalia; Rodentia; Sciuridae. The record is from RefSeq and is a predicted model, not a curated record.